GUCCUGUUUUGCAGCUUACACAGGACCACACUGACAUUCUCCUUUGCAGCCUUUGCAGAAAUGACUUCUGCAAAACAUCCUAAAAUAAGACAGUUCACAAAAGCAUUUGUCAAUAUCACGCAAAAGGGGCAGUUAAGACCUAAGCACCCAGAUGUCAGCAAAAAAAAGACCAUCAGCACGUGGGCUUUGACCUAAUAGGGAGACAGAUACGUGACCAAAGCUCUGAUUGGCAGGACUCGGCACGCCCUGAUUGCUUAAGAAAAUUCUGCAAAAGAGCUCAUAAAAACCGCUAAACUUAGAAACUCCGGGGGGCAACCCACUUGGGUCCACCUCCCUCUCUGGGAGCUUUAUACUCUUGCUCAAUAAACACCACUCUUCAUCUGGUCUACCUCUUCAUUCUUCGAAGUGGCGCGACCAAGGACCAGGGCACUGAGGGGACAAUAAUCCGUAACACUUGGAAGAAUGCUGCGGCAGGCUAUUUGGAAUACUCUGGACUUCAUCAUUAAGAAUUUAAGAUGCAAGACACCUCAUCUGAAGUAUUUUUAUCUAUACAUUUAGCACAGUCCUUGCCACGAGGGGAUAAUUCAACUUAACUGUAAGGUGAAAGGACUUGUCCAUUUCCACACAGCUUACAACAGAGCAGAUAGCAGACCAUGUUCCACGACCAUGAAGCCAGUGUUUCUGUGUUCACCACUUGAGGAAAAGAAGUGCAAUGCUGGGAACUAUAUGGAAUUCCAAUUCAAAGCAAAGAUCCUACUGCAAAGGAGUGAUGAGAUCAGUCACCUCAUCAGAUGUUCUCAGCCCUGGAUGGACAUUAGAAUCACCUGCUUAACGUUAAACAUCGUGAUAUCUUCACCUGAUUCCACCGGACUUCUGAUUAACUGCAUUCUGAUUAGGGCCUGUGCCUCAGGGGUUUUUCAUGUGUGUGGCACCACUGGCUUUCAGUGA
RNAcentral lists this long non-coding RNA (948 nucleotides) under Ursus maritimus (polar bear). Its description in RNAcentral is "lncRNA (ENSUMAG00000025281.1)". The record is from RNAcentral. Lineage: Eukaryota; Metazoa; Chordata; Mammalia; Carnivora; Ursidae.